This 288-nucleotide ribosomal RNA is filed under the name uncultured Anaerolineaceae bacterium. Its description in RNAcentral is "partial 16S ribosomal RNA". It matches the Rfam family "Bacterial small subunit ribosomal RNA", at positions 1077 to 1382 of the family's 1533-position model. The record is from RNAcentral. Lineage: Bacteria; Bacillati; Chloroflexota; Anaerolineae; Anaerolineales; Anaerolineaceae.
CGGUUAAGUCCGCUAACGAGCGCACCUCGUCGUAUGUUAUAUGUGUCAUACGAGACUGCCGGUAAAAGCCGGAGGAAGGUGAGGAUGAUGUCAAGUCAGCAUGACCUUUAUAUCCAGGGCUACACACACGCUACAAUGGUCUGUACAAUGGGUAGCCAAGCCGCGAGGCGGAGCCAAUCCUGAAAGCAGGCCUCAGUUCAGAUUGCAGUCUGCAACUCGACUGCAUGAAGCCGGAGUUGCUAGUAACCGCAGGUCAGCAAUACUGCGGUGAAUACGUUCCCGGGUCUU